CGCGUAGGUGGUUGUGUAAGUCAGAUGUGAAAUCUCGAGGCUCAACUUCGGAACUGCAUCUGAAACUGCAUGACUCGAGUACAGCAGAGGGGAAACGGAAUUCCUGGUGUAGAGGUGAAAUUCGUAGAUAUCAGGAGGAACACCGGUGGCGAAGGCGGUUUCCUGGGCUGAUACUGACACUGAGGCGCGAAAGCGUGGGGAGCGAAACA
This 209-nucleotide ribosomal RNA is filed under the name uncultured bacterium. RNAcentral's name for it is "partial 16S ribosomal RNA". It matches the Rfam family "Bacterial small subunit ribosomal RNA", at positions 568 to 775 of the family's 1533-position model. The record is from RNAcentral.